UACGCAGGGGGCUAGCGUUGCUCGGAAUUACUGGGCGUAAAGCGCACGUAGGCGGGUCAUUAAGUCGGGGGUGAAAUCCUGGAGCUCAACUCCAGAACUGCCUCCGAAACUGAUGAUCUUGAGUUCGGGAGAGGUGAGUGGAACUGCGAGUGUAGAGGUGAAAUUCGUAGAUAUUCGCAAGAACACCAGUGGCGAAGGCGGCUCACUGGCCCGAUACUGACGCUGAGGUGCGAAAGCGUGGGGAGCAAACAGG
Molecule: ribosomal RNA, 253 nt
Filed under: uncultured bacterium
Lineage: Bacteria
Description: partial 16S ribosomal RNA
Rfam family: Bacterial small subunit ribosomal RNA
Source: RNAcentral